ACCCACCAUCAGUCAUGUGAUGGUACGAAAGAGGCAGACCUGGGGAACUGAAACAUCUAAGUACCCAGAGGAAAAGUAAUCAAUUGAGAUUCCCUAAGUAGCGGCGAGCGAAAGGGGAAGAGCCCAAACCAUGAAACUUCGGUUUUGUGGGGUUGAGGACCGGCAAAAAGAGGAAACUUCUUAGUCGAAUGGUUUGGAAAGGCCAUGCACAGAAGGUAAAACACCUGUAGGCGAAAAGAAGUCAAUCGGGCUGGUAUCCAGAGUACUGCGAGACACGUGAAACCUUGCAGGAAGCAGGGGGGACCACCCUCCAAGGCAAAAUACUACUUGGCGACCGAUAGCGCAUAGUACCGUGAGGGAAAGGUGAAAAGAACCCCGGGAGGGGAGUGAAAUAGAACCUGAAACCGUAUGUCUACAAGCAGUCGAAGCACCUUAAGAGUGCGACGGCGUGCCUAUUGAAGAA
This 463-nucleotide ribosomal RNA is filed under the name Salmonella enterica. RNAcentral's name for it is "bacterial LSU rRNA". It matches the Rfam family "Bacterial large subunit ribosomal RNA", at positions 126 to 615 of the family's 2925-position model. Lineage: Bacteria; Pseudomonadati; Pseudomonadota; Gammaproteobacteria; Enterobacterales; Enterobacteriaceae. The record is from RNAcentral.